CCGCUCCAUCUGGAAAAAGAGCGCUUAACACAUCCAAAGUCAAAGUGGAGCUCCCUUCCCCACCUCCUUUGGCCAGGGACCUUGGAGUUUUAUUUCUUCUGGCCAUGGUCCCCAAACCACACCCUGAAACACAGCAACAUUGCCAAAUGCAAUUAAAGAGUUAAAAUGGAGGCAUGUAAGCUCAACAGAGUCUGAUGGUGUCAGUCGUGUUGCCAGUGGAUCACAGGAUAGUUCAGGUUGGGUUCAGUCCAACCUCCUGAUGAAAGCAGCGAAGUUUGGGACCCUCCUGACUUAAAGACAAUUCAUGUCAGGGAUUCAUAUUUUAUUCCCACCUUUGACACAGUAGUGAAUAAGAGUGGCCUGCCUCUUGCUUCAGCACAAAUCUGUAGAAAUAAGCCAACCAGGCAUCUUAAAAAUCAAUAUCCUGCCUAUGGCCUACAAAAUACACAUUUUUAUUUCUUCCCAGGAAAUUUGAAUGAAAUUAAUUAUAAUUUGCAUUGUAAUUAGUUUAAUCUUUUGAGGAUUAAUGACAAAAUAUUUUCAACUAUUACAUAUAUGUGUGUAUAUAUAUAUAUAUUUUAUUUGUAACUGAGUCAGAGACAGCCAUGGAUGUACGACAGUACAUCACUGGCCUAAUUUUUUGGUAUUCACAAACAUGUUUAAAUUGCUUUUCUAUUACGGAAAAUUUUUGUACUCACAGAACGGAGUCAGAAGUGACCUUACUAAUGCAAUAUAGUAGAGGACUAUGCCCUAAAUCUCAGUAUAAAUCUUACAUCGAUACUUUGAUAAAAAUAUACAAACUCCUGAAUGGUCUGGAGAAAUAGAUUCCCAUUUUCCAAUCAAGUAACUGAAAACAAUGGUGGGAAAUUAAGAAUGUUUAAAGCUGGCAAAUUCAAAAUGAAUUAAGAGAUUUAUUUAUACAACAAAUAAUUAGACUGUGGAAAUUACUCCCAUAGAAAGUUGCUAAAGCAGCUUAGUAUGACUUGAAAGAGAUGGGUGAUUUAUAUGAAUAAAGAGAAUUAAGAGAUCAUGAUAGAUGAAGUUAACAAAAAAUUUGGACUGAACAGAAUACCCUUUUUCUUCACAGCCUGUAACUAUCGGAAUUUGAAGAAAAUUCUCUGUUCCACUAUUUGCAAUAUCAGAUGUUAGAGACAGUAUAUUGGAUCAGAUCCAGCAUGAUGGUUCUGAUUUUGUGUUUGUGUCAUUAAGAACAAUUUAAUAGCAGCAAAAGUUAUAUCAACUGAAAGAAGGAAAUACCACUUCAUACAGCGUGAUAAUGGUAGACCUCCCUGUUACACAAGGUUACAGAGUCAAAUAUUGUGGCAAAACUUUGUUAAAAUCAAGGUAAAUUUAUGAGGACUAAAAACCUUUUUAGUAUUGCCUAUUAACUCUAAGGCAAUCAAAUUGUAUGUGGAUCAGAACUAGUUGUCCUAGAAGUUCUCUGUUCCACAAUUGAAUAGAUGCCCAAUAGGAAGUUGUUGACCAUCAGCUAUUUUGCGCCGAACCAGGCUUUGUUCUGUGUUUUUGCAGCUCAGCACCAGCUGGAUACCAGACUUGAGGAACCAAUCAUCUGGUGCUGGAUGUCGCAUCCAGCGAGGAUUGGAUCCAUCCUCCAUCCAAUUGGAGGAUUCCAAGAAGAGAGAGAAUUAGAUGCUACAGCCCAGUGAAAUUAACAAAAGAUAUCAGGGACAUUGGUUACGAAGUCAUCAGUACCUUCAAGACAGAGGCCAAGAAUCUAUAUUCCUUCUGAAACAGUGUACAGAACAGAAGUUGCCCUUGACGUGUUCUUGAGCCAAGAACUGAAGCUGAGUGCUGCAUACUCUGUCCCAUGCUGUCAGAUGCUACUCCCUGAACUGACCAGAUGAAGAGAAAGAUGUGGUCAAAAUGGAAACCACUACAAGGAGAUGAAAAGCAGACAACUUUACACAAGUUAGAAAACCAGCCGAAGAGAGACAGGUUUGAAUAGGAGGACGCAGGCUUUGGAAGAACACUUACCAGUCACAGGUGGGUAGGAGUUACUUUCUGAGUGUGCAGCUAGGUAGAUGGCAGAUGAGAGGGUGAGAGUCUAGAGACAAAGAGAAAGGAGUUUAGAGGGAUGUUUAAAAGGGGGAUGCAAAAACCUGGAAUUCAGAAUGAGCAGAAGGAUUAGAUGAAGGCCAAAGAAAGCAAGAUGUAGUAGAUUAUAGAGCAGAAGGGUUGCUGCGCACAAAAGGGACAGGAUUUCAGAGCCCUUUGUCUCUGCAUUGCUCUAUCACCUGUAAAUAGCAUGAAACCUGUUAGCGAGAAAGGCACUGCACCCCUUUAAAAUGUUGUUCCAUGUGGAGAACAACAGACUAAUCCUGGAACAUUUCAACCUGUUUGUUAGUUCCAGUGUCAGGUCUGUGCUGUGCAUCUAAUGGGCCAAAGACUGAUGAUGACCCAACUCAUGUUUCCAAAACGUACAGUUCCAGAAGAUAACACACACUAAAAUAGCAUAGUCUGCAAAGUUAAAUACUUAGAAAUUAUGAACAAAGGAGAACAUUCCGUCUGCAACUUUAAUUCAGUAUCCAACAGCAUCAGUGUCAAUAUGUAAACUUAAUUCCAGGUUAAUGAGUUAUUUUUUUCUCCAAGACCUUGAUUCAUUCAGUGAACAAUACUGGUAACAGUCAGGGAACCAAAUGCAGUUGUGCAAUAAAGCAGGCUGUUGCUAAUGUAAACCCUGUAUUUAUAUAACCUAGAAGUGGGAACAGGAUGAAGAAGUAGUAUAGAGGAUUCCUCCAGGCCUGGCCUCAUCCACUAUUUCCAGUUAUCCCACACCAGCCACUUUUCUCACUUGUUCUUUCUUUCUACUUUCCAGUUCUGCUCUCCAUCAGCAUCCAUUCCUUCUUCAGGAAUUUUGUCAAGGCAUGACAGAGCCCUUCACAGAGUCUUGCUGGUUCAGCCUAGAUGCCAUUUUGAUGAUAAAAGCUAAUUCUGAAACAAAAGUCAGUUUCCUGUCAAAUAUUAGAUCACCCAUGCAUAGGAGACUAGGGUUUCUCAGAAAAAGUUAUCAGAUUUUUUUAUGGUCCAAUAUGAUUUUUCUUGGUCUAAUUCUUAAGAAUAGGAUAAUUGUAUUUGUUAACAAGAAAAAAAGUCCAUUCUGAGGCAAUAUAGUGAAAAUAGUCUACACGAUACAAGUUUAGAAAAAAUAAAAACAUACAAAACACUGUCAACUUCUAAAUUUCUGACAAGUUUAGCUGUAUGGAGUUCUACCAGUUCUGUCAAUAGUUAAAAUACUUCUUUUUUUUUCUGACUGCAAAUUUCUUGGUGUGAAGAUACUGUCAUGCCCCAUAUUCUGCACACCACUAAGUGACACCAUAAAUUUUCAGUACUCAAGCAGUAAGCAUAAUCAUUAGUAUUAAAAAGAAGAUAUAAUCCUUACUUGCAUGUUGAGUAAAGAAUGUAAUGCUAUUACUACAAAGUUAGUCUCAGGUUAUGUUUUCUGCAGAAGUAAACAGAAACACAUAUACCAUAAAAUGACAGAAAAAAAGUUACACUAUGACUAACAUUUUUAUUUUAGACUGAAAAGUUAAUAGUAGAACUGAAAACAUGGCCUAAUAAUCUAAGUAUUUGACUUUAUACAUAAACUUUAAUUCCUAUGUCUCACUACUUCUAAUGCAGUAAUAACACAUAUCAAAGUAUGAUUAAAACUGAUUCACUGAAGUCUUAUUUGCCCCAGUUUUCAAUUCAUCUGUUCUGCAAACAGGCAUUGAUUACUGCUGACUUUGGUGAGAAUCAUUCUAACAGGUGAUAAGAAAAAAGUAUAGGUUCAUUUCCUUGUGGUUUUUAUUUACUGUCCAGUAUAAACUUCCCAACUCAGAAAUAAUGCUAUUUGUGGUAUCAGGCCAACAGGAUUCUGAUCCUGAAUGUGGUCUUUUAACUACUGCUGUGGUACUAGCACAUAGGAUUUUGGAAAACAAAAUAAUGUUUUUUUUUUCCUGAAUACCUGAAAGGAGACUUUCCUUCCUACAGCAGUUAUGUCUUUGCUUAGGGGAACAAUACUGCUUUCUCAGAAGAAAACAUGUAUCACUCAAGUUUCCUUCAUAAAAGAGGCUAGUGACUGGACCAGCUUGAGAGGUAACCAUUAUUCUUGGGAGGAUUUAGCUCCGGCUUUGCUGUAUGUCCUAAGAAGGAGACAAUUUGCUAAACUCUGUAAAGUGCUCUUUUGAUGUGGAUAACUUUCUUUCAAGGUGAAGAGAGGAAUAUGUGAGUAUUUUCAACAAAGUGCCUGCUUGUGGAAAGAAAGGCGCUCCUACCUUUAUCUUCCCAGAAGUUCCACUCCUUAUUUUACUAAAAAACAACCAAAAGACACACAGUUCAUCCUGAUGUUCCCAGGCACUAUACUUCUCUCCCAUCACUCCCGCUGGUUCUUUUUGCUUGACUAGAAAUAAGGAGCCUUACUAAGAGCUAGAGCAUUAGACUUACUGGAAAGGGAAAUGUUUCUCAGUUAUUUCUCCUGCCUUCCUUAGCACUAGCACUAUUCCAAAAUAGAAUAGGCCUAGAAUAGGCCUUAAAUUUGAAAAAUUUCUCGAUAGAACCUACUGCAUUUGGAGAAACCUCUUUAACUGAAAUAGCUUUAUUUCUAACAAAAACUCUUGCCUGAAUGCAUAAUAUCUAUAUAAGGUUGCUUUACAUAGGAAUGACUAUUUUUCCUUCAAUAAGUAACAGCUGUAACAAUGUAAGUCGCUUACAAUCACUGUAAGUGAGGGGACAAGGGAUGUAAUAAUUUACUGGUAUCAAUUAGCUGCAGCAAGAAGGAGGACAAGUUAGAUCAAAAAUGUGGACAGUCCUAGGCACACUGAAGAGCUGCAACAUGGCUACUUGAAGGUUUAUUAUUCUCUGUGUUUUGCAUAUUAGGUCCUCUAAUAUUUUUGUAUAUUAGUAUUGCAAAAGCAUUUUUUCAUGGUUAAACAAUAAGAUCAAAUGAAGGACAGAGAAUUAACUGCAUAAUCAGAGUAUUUAGAUCUCAAAUGUAUUUUUGCUGAUCUUAUCCAUGUAGUCUGUACCUGCUGAGAUGGAGGGUUUACAGCUGUUGUGAGAUAACUUAACUUUUCCAUCUGUUUGUAGUAAUUGCUUCUCUGGAAACCUACAGCAUGAGUGGUGAUACUGACUUUUCAAAGUAUCAGCCCUCAAAGGUCAUGAACUAUUUCUUAAAGGACAUUACAUUGAUAGAAUGCCUUUGUAUGGUCACUACAUUUAGAGGUAUUGUACAUAGCUUCAAUUCAAAAUGCUUUUUAGUCUGCCAGCCUGUAAAACAGGAUGUAUGUGUGAAGAAAUAUUUGCACUGAUGUGUCAGUUUUUGACAUUUGUUUUUAUUUGU
Dromaius novaehollandiae (emu) is the source of this 5338-nucleotide long non-coding RNA. RefSeq lists it as uncharacterized. The record is from RefSeq and is a predicted model, not a curated record. Lineage: Eukaryota; Metazoa; Chordata; Aves; Casuariiformes; Dromaiidae. The transcript has 3 exons.